CGGGCCUGGCGCGAUUGGAUGAGCCCAUGUCGGAUUAGCUAGUUGGCGGGGUAAUGGCCCACCAAGGCGACGAUCCGUAGCUGGUCUGAGAGGAUGAUCAGCCACACUGGAACUGAGACACGGUCCAGACUCCUACGGGAGGCAGCAGUAGGGAAUAUUGGACAAUGGGCGCAAGCCUGAUCCAGCCCAUGCCGCGUGAGUGAAGAAGGCCCUCGGGUUGUAAAGCUCUUUUGUCCGGAAAGAAAAGCGCCGGGUUAAUACCCUGGUGCCCUGACGGUACCGGAAGAAUAAGCACCGGCUAACUUCGUG
This 309-nucleotide ribosomal RNA is filed under the name uncultured bacterium. Its description in RNAcentral is "bacterial SSU rRNA". It matches the Rfam family "Bacterial small subunit ribosomal RNA", at positions 207 to 507 of the family's 1533-position model. The record is from RNAcentral.